Molecule: long non-coding RNA, 4635 nt
Organism: Xenopus laevis (African clawed frog)
Lineage: Eukaryota; Metazoa; Chordata; Amphibia; Anura; Pipidae
Exons: 3
Source: RefSeq, a predicted model, not a curated record
UCCAAUCGGGGCCUGUGCCAGAACAGCCGUCAGAGUGUGAGUAAUUGUUUCACUUCCUCCCCCACACCGGAAGAUGAAAAGCAGGAGAUUCUCUGACUGAAGAUGCGUUACCUCACAUAACACGCUGGCGCUGCACAGAGUUUCUUCUUUUUAAAGAGCACACGCAGUGAUUUAUGAUGCUAGUCUGGCACCGAUCGAUCGCAUCUUCAGUCAGAGUCUCCUGUUCUGAACCAGGGAGCAACUGCACCAGGGCCCCCCUGCCCCAGCGAUGGGGUCAGAAGGGGAAGUUACCAAUAAAUUAAAUGUUGCUGCUGGUAUGUGCUGGAAGCCACCCCAGGAGACCAGAAAAAACAAUGUAUCACGUGGAGAAACUUAAAAUAAGGAUCAAAGGACAAAAGCAGAUUUGUGAAGAAAUACAUUAUUUUUCAAUGAGACAGACAAUUCUGUGAGCGAUUCAGUGUAAAUUAUAUGUACGCAGUUCAGUUAUAUGAUCUAUGUGCCCAACUUGUACAGGAAAUUGUGUCAAAUAUCUGUGCUGCUACUGUGUCUCUACAUCAUUUAUGUAAAUGUGCAGAUGCUUACUAUUUGUAUGUGAAGCUGAAUGGAGGCUUGCCGUUUCCUAAUGUGUAAAAUAAUGUCUAGGUGCAAUUAAACCAGUAACUCUGAAUUGUUGAAUUAUCACUAAAUCUGGGCACUCAGAAAAGUUAAAUAUAUAUCUACAAUAGUUCAUAGCAUAAUAUUCAUUAGAAACAGAAAUAACCCAUUAAACGUUAUUUUGUUUUCUUAAAAGCAAAACCUUUAACACAACCAUUAACUGUUAUUUCACCUACACUGUCUACUUCAUUAUUAAAAAUACAGCUUAGACAAUAAUAGCUGCAGUGAUAAAUAAUAUUGAGGGUUCAGUUAACGAAAUACACUCUGUGCUGUUUAGAAGUAGUGGUACAAAUAUAACUGUGAUCUUUGCAAUUUGGUAUACUUUAAACUUGGGUUAUCUUUCAUUAUUAAAAUUGGAUAGUCCCAUGUAAGCAGUUUGGCAGAUUAUCAGUCAUUUUCCUGCAUUAGUAUGGAAAGAUUGUACACUGAACACAGCACCAGAAUUAUCAAAGAGAAACAGGCGCCUUUGAAAUUAGAUCAAUCUGGUGAAGUUAUUAUUGAUACAAACAGGCCCUCAGAUAUAUAACUGUGUGCUAAAUUCUGCUGUUCCCUGUGGGCUCAGUACACAUAGACACAACCCUCAUUGGUGCCCCUAAUCCAGGAUAACAUAUAAUAGGAUCCAUACCUGGGACAUGUUAAGAGAGAGCACCAUGCUGGGAGUACUCUGCAGCUGCUGGCAGGAUAUCUUGAGAUCAUGAAGUGUACAUCCAAAUUGGAUACAGACUGUGACCAUAACACUCCCUAGCCCACUGCUUGAAGCAGCCUAUUCAAACCCCAAGUGUGACAGCCCUACGUCCACAUUUAAAUCUGCUAUUCCCACUUUAGCCUCUUCAUAUUUGGUAUGUUCUAAAAGAAAUAUAAUUUUGUUACAAUUAUGAGAAUUAUCAGAAUUGCACUCCUGCCAGCCCUUUAAUUAUUGUGAUAUUCAGUCAUGCAUUUUUAGUCAAAUAUGUUUCAAGAUUAUUUUAAAUUACUUAAAUGCUUAUGUUUGUGCACAAAAUUGAACUCAAAGACUAGACAAUGCCUGAUUAUGAUCAUACACCAUAUCAAAGAAUGUUUUUUUCCCACAUUUUACAUUUUAUGGAGUAACUUUGUAUUAUGCAAAUUAGGGUUUAGGUUCAGUUCAGUAUUUGGCCUUUUUUGUAAAAAAAAAAAAAAAGUAAUAUUUCCCAAAUUCCAGAGUACUGCAGAAUUGUUGUAUAUUUUAAUAUAAACCUAAGAUCACAGAUGUUUUUCUAUGACUGUAUAACUACUGUAUGUUUUCCAUUUACAGUAUAUUAUUGAGUCUAAAAGGAUUAGUUGUGUCUGUGAGUAGUUAUAUAAAGAUUAAGAAGGGUUAAAAACUUUAGGUCAUUAGAGAGUAUACUAGGAUACUUCCAGUGGAUCUCUACAGGCUACCGAUGUGAACCAAUUUUUGACCUGGAAUCCAACUGCAAAGUAUGGUCACCUUAAGGAGAGGAGGAAUUUACUUAAAGGAUAGAUAUUCCCUGUGGAAACCUGUUGAACAGGUUUAAGUGUCCAUCAUUUGGUUGUUGAUCCUACAUGGCAGUGCUUAAAGUGAUACUGACACUAAAAACUACUCUUCAAAAUAUUAAUGUAUAUUGAAAGUUACCUAUAGGUCUUGAUUUUUGCUGAUAGGGCUGACUGUUUUGCCAACCUGACUGUCCAUUCUCAACCAAUCACAGUUUCUAAUGCUGACAGACAAAAAUUUGGCAGCUUCCUCAAAGAGUGCCAUGGGGGAUCAGAUAGACCAUGUAAAAGUAUCAAAAAAAUACUAUUAUGGCAAAAUUCGAAAUAGCAUGCAAAGACAUUGUUAUUAUAGAUUUAAAAAAAGUUUAAUUUGUGGUGUCAAUAUCUCUUUAAGGAAGCACCGUGAGAUAUAUGGGGCAAUAAGAUCAUAGUUUCUAGAAUGGUAAUGGGAAUUUGUUUAGCUGUAAAGACAUGGAUGUAAUUUUUGGUUUUAAUGCGACUCCAUGAUAUUGACUUUAUAGUAGUAUUCCACGUUAGGAACUCCAAAUCCUACCUCUUUUGUAUUUUAUUGUAAAAAUUUGCACUUGAUUCUUGGUUUCUCUCCUCCCCUGAUGUAUGUGUCAAAUGCCGUUUGGAUUUGGUUCAGGAAGGAAAUGAGGACCAAGAUUGGCAGUGUUCUGAAAAGGUAUAGCAUUUUCAGCAGUGGCAUCAUUUUGACUGCUGACAUUCUGCCCAUUCACGAGAUGUGUAGUGGGCUCCACAUUUUUAAUUGUGUUUGAAUCUCAAGGAGACUUGGUGGGUCGUUUCUGUUAUAGGUAGUUGUGAUGGAGUUUCCAAACUCAUUCCUAGGUGCACAAUUGAGUGUUGUUACCAUUAAAAAAAGAGUAGGCUUGCUGUAGUGGGGUAAGUUUUUCCGUGUCAACACAUAAUGGAAGGGCUUAGGUUUUGUUUAUAUUUCAUUUGUAAUAGGAGAUAUGGCUAUAAGUUGUUAGAAUUUGAAAGGUUGCUGCAAGUGAUUGCCUUGAGUUUGUGAGGGAUAGGAUGAUGUCAUCAGCAAACAGUGCCAGUUGAAUUUUAAGUUGCCUGUUUAGAUGCCAAUUUUUGCUUUGGAGUCUCUUAUAGUUUUGGCCGAUGAUUCUAGGAUUAAGUUUAAAAUCAAAGGGGACAGUGGGCAACCCUGUCUUGUUCCAUUGGUGAUGUGAAAUGGAUCUGAGAGGAACCCCAUAUUAGUGACUUGGGCUGAUGGCUCAGUAUAUAGGGCCAGUAUUGCUCGGUAUAUGGGACAUUUAAAACCUAGGCUUGUAACGUUGCGACCAUGUACUUCCAGUUUCCUCGUAGCUGAUGUGGUAGCAAGUUUAGCUGUCUUGAGGGGUGAGCAUAAGAAAUUGUGUGAAGAGGUAAGUGAUCGCAAAGAUGUAGCCAGUGCUGGCUGUGCGAUUACAGCCCAAAUAUUCUGACUAAAUUCCUCUGUGUGCGGAGCUCCUUACCCUGCAUCUGGCCUCAUCUGCAGUUGAAUGUGAUGUUAAAUAAUAAAAAAUAUAUAUGUUUUCCUAUUAUUUACAUGAGGGAAAGCUGUGUACUCGUGUAUCUAAUAAGUAUAUAAAAUUUAAUGUAUAGAUAUUUCAAGAAUCUGUAGUGCUUAAAAAUCUUUUUAUUGUAGCAUUCUCAGUUUGUUUCCAAGCUACAGUCAUCAUCCAAACAAUCACAGUAGAAUAAAGAAAAAGUAUUAAGAACAAUGCUACAGUACAGAUAAAAAAAAUGUUUAUGGCCUUGUGAAUGUGAAACUUUUAAUUUAACUUUCAUUUGUACCAAAAUAUCGUGUGAGAUUGAUAAAAAAGCAAGAAUAAUAAUUUGAGACAAUAUCAAAAUGUGCUGCCACAAUAAUAUUAAACAUGUUUAAUACUUUAAAAGAAACAUGUGCAUGUAGAUUUACAGCUAAACCAGCGUCUUGCCACAAGUUCAAGUUAAACAUAUGUUUUUGUAUUAUAUUGAAUCUAUCCAUCCCUCCAGACCAUUUGUGAAUGCACCAAAUCUGACAAGUACAACAUUUUUCUGAGACAAGACUCUAUAAUCCUAUUAUUCAUUCAUCAGCAUGCAUGUGAUAGGGGAAACCAAAUCAAACUCAGCCAAAAAAAAGAGCAGCUAGGAGCUUUUUCUGGCAUUGUGGGGCUCAGCUUAGCUGGGGCACAAUAGGUGUGUAAUUUAAGUUUUUUGUUGAGCUCAAAUCCAAUCACAUACUUGAGUGGAGGAUCAUAGGCAAACACACGCGAAAGGAAUGAGAUAAUUCCUGCCUCACACAACCAUUGGUUUUCAGGCUUUGAUUUGAUCAACCUUCCACUCACAAAGUCCUUUCUGCUUCCAGCCCUUUCUUGUAUUGAAAUGCUCUUUGAACAGUCUCAGGAACGCCUCUCUGGGGUAGCGUGAAUUAAGGUAACUCUGUUGUGUGUUCAUUAUUUCUUCUGUAAUCCCAAUGAGACUUUUCCAGUUAAGGCUUAUUCCUCAAUCCUUGGA